RNAcentral lists this ribosomal RNA (449 nucleotides) under uncultured bacterium. Its description in RNAcentral is "partial 16S ribosomal RNA". It matches the Rfam family "Bacterial small subunit ribosomal RNA", at positions 29 to 523 of the family's 1533-position model. The record is from RNAcentral.
AGCGAACGCUGGCGGCAGGCCUAACACAUGCAAGUCGAACGAACUCUUCGGAGUUAGUGGCGGACGGGUGAGUAACACGUGGGAACGUGCCUUUUGGUUCGGAAUAACUCAGGGAAACUUGUGCUAAUACCGAAUGUGCCCUUCGGGGGAAAGAUUUAUCGCCAUUAGAGCGGCCCGCGUCUGAUUAGCUAGUUGGUGAGGUAAAAGCUCACCAAGGCGACGAUCAGUAGCUGGUCUGAGAGGAUGACCAGCCACACUGGGACUGAGACACGGCCCAGACUCCUACGGGAGGCAGCAGUGGGGAAUCUUGCGCAAUGGGCGAAAGCCUGACGCAGCCAUGCCGCGUGAAUGAUGAAGGUCUUAGGAUUGUAAAAUUCUUUCACCGGGGACGAUAAUGACGGUACCCGGAGAAGAAGUCCCGGCUAACUUCGUGCCAGCAGCCGCCGCAG